GCGAGCGCUCCAGGCCUCCUCCCGACCCUGCGCCGUGCCCAGCCCCUCUGCCCUCCUGUUACCCCGGGACCUCGGGCCGCCAGCCCCUUCCACGUGCAGGCUCCUGCUGCUCUCGCGGGGGCUUUUCGUGUGUCCCCCGAGAUGUCGAGGAAGCCAGAGUCCAGCUCUCCCACGGGUGGCUGUGAUCCUUCUUCCUGGGGAGUCCUGCUGUCCCUGACUAGGGGCACCUGCCCACCUGUCAGCUGCUCCUCCCUCGGCUGGUCCUCCUGGGCUCUGAUGGCCCCAACAUUUCUAGCUCUUCUCACCCAUAGUGCCCCGAGCUUCAUGCAGCUGCAGCAGGUACUGUGCCCGUCUGCCUGGCUUUUGUGUGUUUGUGUCUUGACUCUAUAACCCGUGCACACGGACUGGGCUGUGGUGUAGUGGGGAUGGCAGGAGCCCUGGGAACAUGCGGGCUGGGCAAGGUGAGGCAGGCUGAUUGCUGUGGCUCCCCCACCACCAGCCCCAGCCACAACAAACUGACAAAGGAAGAGGACAGUGGUGCCCUGGAGCCCUGGGGUCAGAGAGAGGAGGACAAAGCAGGUGUGUAGCCCAGGGAAUGACAGCACCCCUUCCGAGAAGACAGGGAAGGUGCAGACAUGGCCAGGUUCUGAGCUAGAAAACUGUCGGCAGGGGGCUGAAGCUGAGGAUAGUCAUUGCCAAGGAACAGCCUCCGUCACAGAGGAGACGCACAGAUGCGGUGACGAGGGAGGGAUGAGGGGCUGGUGACCGCUGGGAACAGAUGUGUGAGGCAGAGUCUCCAGGCAUGGUCUGCGGGGCGGUUUGAUGAUACUAGGACAUCUCUCAGAGUAGAAGGACGUCCCGACCUGCAGACUGGAAAGCCCCCAGAGCUCCCGGCAGGACGUAUGAGGGCCAGCCCACAACCGGGUCUGUCCUGAUACAACUGAACGCCACAGUGUCUUAGCUCCUUUACUGUUGCUAUCAAGAAAUACCUGAGGCUGGGAAAUUUAUGAAGAAUCAUGAGGUAAUUUGUAUAUUUGUCCACAGUAAACCUCAUGUUGAAUUGUAAACCCCAAGGCUGGAGGUGGCUGGGUCAUGGGGGUGGAUUUCUCAGGAAUGUUUAGCACCCUCCCCUUGGUGCUGUCCUUGAGAUAGUGAGUUCUCCUGAGAUCUGGUUAUUUAAAAAGUGUGGGGCACCUCUCUCUCUCGCUCACUCGCUCGCUCGCUCCUGCUCUGGCCAUGUGACGUGCCCGCUCCCCCAUUGCCUUUCACCAUGAUCGGAAGCUUCCGGAGGCCUCCCCAGAAGCUGAGCAGAGGCCAGCACCAUGCCUCCUGUAAAGCCUGCAGAACCAGGAGCCAAGUAAACCUCUUUUCAUUAUUUAUUUAUUUAUUUGUUUUGACACAGGGUCUCGCUCUGUUGCCUAGGCUGGAGUGCAGUGGCGUGAUCUCGGCUCACUGCAACCUCUGCCUCCUGGGCUCAGGUGAUCCUCCCACCUCACCCUCCUGAGUAGCUGGGACUACAGGCACACGCCACCAUACCUGGCUAAUUUUUCAUAUUUUUUGUAGACAUGGGGUCUUACUGUUGCCCAGACUGGUCUCAAACUCCUGACCUCAAGUGAUCUAUCCACCUUGGCCUUCCAGAGUGCUGGGAUCACAGGCAUGAGCUACCAUGCCUGGCCCUCUUUUCUUUUAAAAUUGCCCAGUCCUAAGUAUUUCUUUAUAGCAAGGCAACCACAGCCUAACACAGCUCACGAUGCUGAGGUCUCAAAAGUUCAAGAUCGGGCGUCUGCCUCUGGUGAGGGCCUUGCUGCCGCUGCCUCCACUCAUGGCAGAAGGUGAAGGGCAGCUGGAGUGCGUGGAGACGGUGUGCGAGAGGGAGCCGGAGUGUGUGGAGACCGUGUGCGAGAGGGAGCUGGAGGAGUUGGGAAGUACAGGCCUUUUUUUUUUUUUUUUUUAAGAUGGAGUCUCGCUCUGUUGCCCAGGCUGGAGCACAGUGGCGCAAUGCCGGCUCACUGCAACCUCCGCCUCCCGGGUUCAAGCGAUUCUCCUGCCUCAGCCUCCUGAGUAGCUGGGAUUAGAGGCAUGCGCCACUAUGCCCGGCUAAUUUUUGUAUUUUUGUAGAGACGGGGUUUCACCAUGUUGGUCAGGCUGAUCUUGAACUUCUGACCUCGUGAUCCGCCCGCCUUGGCCUCCCAAAGUGCUGAGAUUAUAGGCAUGAGGCACCGCGCCGGCCGUGCAGGUGUUUUUAAAAGCCCCUCUUGCUGGAACUAGUAAGAGUGAAAACUCACUCAUUACCAAGAGGACAGCACCAAACUGUUCGUGAGGAAUCUGCCCCCAUGACCCAGACACCUCCAACACUGGGGCUCAAAUUUCAACCUGAGGUUUGAAGGGGACCAACACCCAAACUAUAGAAACAGGGAAAGAGGAAAGUUUACGGAUACCCAUUUAGAAAGAAUCUGCUAACAAAGGGAAAGAAUCAGGCUGGGCGCGGUGGUUUACGCCUGGAAUCCCAACACUUUGAGAGGCCAAGGUGGGUGGAUCACCUGAGGUCAGGAGUUUGAGACCAGCCUGGCCAGCAUGUGAAACCCUGUCUCUACUAAAAAUGCAAACAUUAGCCAGGCAUAGUGACGUGCACCUGUAGUCCCAGCUACCCAGGAGGCCAGGCAAGAGAAUUGCUGGAGUCCAUGAGGCAGAGGUUGCAGUGAGCAGAGAUCCUGCCACUGCACUCCAGCCCAGGCAACAAGAACGAGACUGCGUCUCAAAAACAAACAAACAACAACAACAACAAAAGGAAAGAAUCAGACUGGCUUGGGACUCUGCUGUCCCCUGCCCGUGACCUCCCAAAAGCGUGUGUUAGAGACUGACCUGCCUAGUGCGUCAGUGGAGGGGGCACUUUGGAGAGGGGCUUGGAUCGUGAGGCCCCGCCCUCGUGAAUGGCUCAGUGCCUUGUGAAAGGGCUUGAUCGAGGGAGUUUGGUCCCUUUUCCCCUUUUGUCUCUCGGCUGUGUGAGGACACCAUGUUCCUCCCCUCUGGAGGAUGCUGUAACAAGCUGUCAUCUCGGGAGGAGACACCAGGCCCUGACCAGACGCUGAACAUGCCAGCACCUUCAUCUUGGACUUUCCAGCCCCCAGAACUGUGAGAAAUAAAUUUCUGUUCUUUAUAAGUACCUAGUCCAUGGUGUUUUGUUACAGCAGCAUGAACAGACUGAGAUAGCGGCUUACAUGUAACCGGAAGCUGCAGAAAAACAUCUUCAGACAGCUGAGACGGCUCCCAGGACUCAUGCCUGGCACAGACACCAUCUGCCUGGCAGGGCAAAGAAAGGCGUCUAUGAGUGUGGGAGGAUUCCGAGUCUAACACCCUGAGCCCAGCCAGGAAGGGGCCAGGAAGGCCUCCUCGUGAACAACGAAUGAAACAGAACCCAGAUCUCAGACAGGGCGGGGAAGGGGAGGGGUACCAUGUCAAGCAGCACUCUGUGCUAGCACUACAACCUGGAGGCAGGGAGCAGUGAGGAGUGGAAAUCUUCCCAUCAGAAGUGAAGAAGGCUGGAUACGGUGGCUCACACCAGUAAUCCCAGCACUUUGGGAGGCAAAGGCAGGAGGAUCACUUGAGCCCAGGAGUUUGAGACCAGCCUAGGCAACUUAGCAAGACCUUGUCUUCAAAAAAAAAAAAAAAUUUUACAAGGAACUACACAGAUGGCAAAACUUAAAAAAAAAAAAAAAGUGGGAAGAGGGGAGAAAGGGAGAUCAAUGUCUUCUACAGAUUUCAUCUUGUCGGGUGGAGAGUGUGAGGAGUAGAGCCAUGUGGUGGGAAACUGUUGGUGUCUUGUUUGCGAAUGACUUUGGAACAAAGACCACCUGAUAAGCACAGUUAAGGAAUGAAAACACACAGGGACUUCCCAGGGAGCCAGGAGGACACUGGGGGAGCAUGAACACCUGCCUUUCCCAUGGGGCCCUGGUGUGCCCAGCCCCCCACUUCAUGUCUGACCCACGUGCUCUCUGGCUGACCUCCUGGGACUCGCACCCGGCCCCCACUUGGUAUCUGAGCCAUGUACUUCCCGGCUGACCUCCCGCAACGUGAAGACUACUCUCGCUCCCUUCAAGGCCACUGUCCCCACCGCAGCCAGAGAGGUGUUUUAUAGUUCAAAUCCUGCCCAGGCACCAUCUUGCCUAAAGGCAGCCCUGAGCCGGAAUCUGUGUGCUUUGCUGAUGGGACUGUAAAAUGGCGCAGUCACUUUUGAAACAGUCUGACAGUUCCUCAAAAGCUUAAACAUAGACUUACCACAUACCCAGCAAUUCCACGCCCAGGCUCUGCCCCAGGAGAAUUGAAAACAUCUAUCCACACGGAAACUUGUACACAAAUGUUCACAGUUGCACUAUUUAUC
RNAcentral lists this long non-coding RNA (4378 nucleotides) under Pan troglodytes (chimpanzee). RNAcentral describes it as "long non-coding RNA NONPTRT006971". The record is from RNAcentral. Lineage: Eukaryota; Metazoa; Chordata; Mammalia; Primates; Hominidae.